GACGAACGCUGGCGGCGUGCUUAACACAUGCAAGUCGAACGGAAAGGCCCUGCUGUUGUGGGGUGCUCGAGUGGCGAACGGGUCAGGAACACGUGAGUAACCUGCCCUUGACUUUGGGAUAACUUCAGGAAACUGGGGCUAAUACCGGAUAGGAGCUCCUGCGGCAUGGUUGGGGUGGGAAAGUUUCGGCGGUUGGGGAUGGACUCGCGGCUUAUCAGCUUGUUGGUGGGGUAGUGGCUUACCAAGGCUUUGACGGGUAGCCGGCCUGAGAGGGUGACCGGCCACAUUGGGACUGAGAUACGGCCCAGACUCCUACGGGAGGCAGCAGUGGGGAAUAUUGCACAAUGGGCGGAAGCCUGAUGCAGCAACGCCGCGUGCGGGAUGACGGCCUUCGGGUUGUAAACCGCUUUCGCCUGUGACGAAGCGUGAGUGACGGUAAUGGGUAAAGAAGCACCGGCUAACUACGUG
This 468-nucleotide ribosomal RNA is filed under the name uncultured bacterium. RNAcentral describes it as "partial 16S ribosomal RNA". It matches the Rfam family "Bacterial small subunit ribosomal RNA", at positions 28 to 507 of the family's 1533-position model. The record is from RNAcentral.